AGGGAAUCUUCGGCAAUGGACGGAAGUCUGACCGAGCAACGCCGCGUGAGUGAAGAAGGUUUUCGGAUCGUAAAGCUCUGUUGUAAGAGAAGAACGAGUGUGAGAGUGGAAAGUUCACACUGUGACGGUAUCUUACCAGAAGGGACGGCUAACUACGUGCCAGCAGCCGCGGUAAUACGUAGGUCCCGAGCGUUGUCCGGAUUUAUUGGGCGUAAAGCGAGCGCAGGCGGUUAGAUAAGUCUGAAGUUAAAGGCUGUGGCUUAACCAUAGUACGCUUUGGAAACUGUUUAACUUGAGUGCAAGAGGGGAGAGUGGAAUUCCAUGUGUAGCGGUGAAAUGCGUAGAUAUAUGGAGGAACACCGGUGGCGAAAGCGGCUCUCUGGCUUGUAACUGACGCUGCGGCUCGAAAGCGUGGGGAGCAAACAGGAUUAGAUACCCUGGUAGUCCACGCCGUAAACGAUGAGUGCUAGGUGUUAGACCCUUUCCGGGGUUUAGUGCCGUAGCUAACGCAUUAAGCACUCCGCCUGGGGAGUACGACCGCAAGGUUG
RNAcentral lists this ribosomal RNA (548 nucleotides) under uncultured bacterium. Its description in RNAcentral is "bacterial SSU rRNA". It matches the Rfam family "Bacterial small subunit ribosomal RNA", at positions 356 to 896 of the family's 1533-position model. The record is from RNAcentral.